UACAGAGGGUGCAAGCGUUAAUCGGAAUUACUGGGCGUAAAGCGCGCGUAGGUGGUUAUGUAAGUUGGAUGUGAAAUCCCCGGGCUCAACCUGGGAACUGCAUCCAAAACUGCAUGGCUAGAGUAUGGUAGAGGGUGGUGGAAUUUCCUGUGUAGCGGUGAAAUGCGUAGAUAUAGGAAGGAACAUCAGUGGCGAAGGCGACCACCUGGACUAAUACUGACACUGAGGUGCGAAAGCGUGGGGAGCAAACAGG
Molecule: ribosomal RNA, 253 nt
Filed under: uncultured bacterium
Lineage: Bacteria
Description: partial 16S ribosomal RNA
Rfam family: Bacterial small subunit ribosomal RNA
Source: RNAcentral